RNAcentral lists this ribosomal RNA (600 nucleotides) under uncultured bacterium. RNAcentral describes it as "bacterial SSU rRNA". It matches the Rfam family "Bacterial small subunit ribosomal RNA", at positions 38 to 641 of the family's 1533-position model. The record is from RNAcentral.
GGCGGCGUGCCUAACACAUGCAAGUCGAACGGACCUUUAUUUUUGAGACUUUCCAUUUCCUUGGAAUGUCCCAUAAAUAAUGGUUAGUGGCGGACGGGUGAGUAACACGUUGGUACCUGCCCUCUAGUGGGGAAUAACUGGCCGAAAGGUCAGCUAAUACCGCAUACGAUCUACGGAUCAAAGCAGCAAUGCGCUAGAGGAGGGGCCUGCGGCUGAUUAGCUUGUUGGUAGGGUAAUGGCCUACCAAGGCGACGAUCAGUAGCUGGAUCGAGAGGUUGACCAGCCACACUGGGACUGAGAUACGGCCCAGACUCCUACGGGAGGCAGCAGUGAGGAAUUUUCCACAAUGGACGAAAGUCUGAUGGAGCAACGCCGCGUGCAGGAAGACGGCCUUCGGGUUGUAAACUGCUUUUAUUCGGGAAGAUUAUGACGGUACCGAAUGAAUAAGGAUCGGCUAACUACGUGCCAGCAGCCGCGGUAAUACGUANGAUCCAAGCGUUAUCCGGAAUUACUGGGCGUAAAGCGUACGUANGUGGAGAUUUAAGUGAGAUGCGAAAUCUGGCGGCUCAACCGUCUAGACUGUGUCUCAUACUGGGUUUC